GACAGAGACUGGACUCAGUUCUGGACACCCGGGGAGUCAACCAGUGAGGAUGCUGGAAUGGGGAUGGAACCCCAGGCAAGCAAUGUCUGAGGAAGAUUGUCUGGCAGGGGUCUGCACCGUGGGUCAGAGGAGGGACAGAGACAGGAGACCAGUCACGGGACUGUGACAGCGACCCAGUGGGAUGCUCUGAGAAUGGAAAGGAAGAGGUGUUCUUUGUUCUGAAGAGGAGAAACAGUAAAAAAAAAUUCACCAAAGACCCAAGACGGAAGACUGUGGGCCCAGAUCCUAAUGUAAAAGAAGCCUGCCUCAGCUUAAUUUUCUGGACAGCAAGAGCUAUGAAAGUGAACUGGGUGAAUAUUGGUGUUUUCAGGUUGAGGUUUCAAUGAAUUAGGGCAAUCAGAAGGAAGAGUUUAAUCUUGGGGUCUAGCAUGAGACCAUUCAAUUCAAACUUUCAUUUCACAGUUAGGAAACUGAGACCCAGAGAGGCACAGUGCUUCAGGUUGAUGCUAAUAGACUGAUUUUGGAAGGCAGCUGAGCUGGAAGACACAGAUCUGGGGGCCAUCAGCCAAGGGCUGAGAAUGAUGUGAAUUAAGAAGGUGGGAAGAGAAUUGAUGGCUAAGACCUGAGUCUUGAGGGAAACCCAUGGCCAGGAGCAGAGGAGUUAAGAUUCAUUCAGAAAUGCUCCUACAGACAUGGGAGAACAAGGAUUGUUCAGUAUAAUGGAAGCAAAGGAGAGGGUUUUGAGGAACAAAAGACUAGCCAACAGUAGCAAUUGCGUCAAGGUGAUCAAGGAAUAAGAUGUAAACAAUUGUUGGAUUUAUGAUAUGAUCUUUCAAAGUGCAGUUUCAGUAAAGUGAUAAGAAUGGAA
Macaca mulatta (Rhesus monkey) is the source of this 868-nucleotide non-coding RNA. Lineage: Eukaryota; Metazoa; Chordata; Mammalia; Primates; Cercopithecidae. The record is from RefSeq and is a predicted model, not a curated record.